UACUUCAGAACAAACAAAAAAACAAUCAUAAUUUGAGGUUAGUAACAAGAAUCUGAAAACAAGUCUCUUCACAUAGUUCCAAUUUCUCUAACUUUGUAUAAUAUCAAUGGGUGUGUAGUCUUAAUUAGUUAACCUGUCUAGCCUCAAAAGGUGAGGCUCAUUUUAGGGCGAGUAUGAGGUCUAAACCUAUUAAGCCAACUAAAGAAACAAUUGAUACUACUGAGUCAGGAAGUCUAGAAUCAGAGAAGCCUGUUAAAUAGACACUGGCUGCUACUUUUUAUGCUAAUAGUUAGAGAUACAGUUGAAUGAGAUAUAGUUCCUGUUCCUGAGAACAGUGAAAUUGUGGUGAGGCAUUGACAGGUAAAGAAGAGCUAGCUGUUUGUAUAUGAAAAAAUUAUGCAGGGCAGAAUAAACCUUACUCAGUGUUAGAAAGUUUGAGUACUGUAAUAUACGAGGUACUGAAAUGAGGUACAUAGAUAUUUCAGAUACAGGCUCUACUUUCAAGAGCACCUAGUAUCUUAAGACAGGUAGGCUUAUGAAAAGUUGAUUGUAACACUCAAUAUGUGGAUGAUAUGCAGGACAGAAUUAUCUGGAGAAGAGGCUGGUCAAGAAAAGUGUGAAAAUUAACUUCCCACUGAUCAUCCACAAAGGUUUACUACAGCUCCUUUCAUUUAUUCUUGAAUAGGGAAUAGCAGGGGAAUGGAGAAAAGCACUAUAGGUAUUAGGAAAUAGUUUGGCCAAAGUUAGGAGCUAUUAUGUGAUGACAGUCAUUUGUGAUUGGAGUGGUGUACAGGGAAAGAAUAUGGUAGAUGAUGAGGGUAGAGCUUAAGCUUUACCCGGUAGGCAAGAAGAAUUGAAUCCAUUGAAAAGAUACAGGGCUCAAAUAGCAGUCUAUAUGAUGUGUUCUCUGGUAGAAGUAAUUGGAGGCAGUAGGCUAUUAUUAGAAUAAAUGUCAGUAAGCUAUGAUCAUGGGCUGUUAAACAGUUUUAUACCCAAAGAACUUGUUUAUCUGUGAUUGCUUUUGCAUUACAGUGAUAUGCUGAAUUGUUGUGUCCGGCCAGCAGAUCACAGCGUGGGUUCUAGCCUGGAAAGGCAUUUUGGAAACCUGGAAGAGAAGAAGGGCUAGGUGGGCGAGUAAAGGAUGCAGCUAAGACAGGCAUUCUGAUCAAAGCUCAAUUUUACUAUUCCAACACGUAGUUAUGAAGGAGGGGAAAGGGGGGCCGAUUCCCGCCAAAUAGUCCUGGGGUCCAGUAGCCGGGUGACCACGUGUAUGGCUCUGAACAGCAAAGUGGCAGGUUCCAGCAGUGGGCGUGGCAGAACGAUUGAGCGGCAAGCUCCAUCCAGGUGUAAACAGUGGAACCAUUAAGGCUGGGGGAGGGGAGGCUACACUGAAUAUUACAGGGAUUUCUGCCAUACCCCACAAAACCUAAAAUUUUAGCUAUCCAGCACUACACAGAAAAGGCUGGCUGAGCCAGGCACUGGUGACUUGUGAGAGAGGCAGAGAGGCAGAUGGAUCUCUGAAUUUGAGGCCAGCCUACCCUACUGAAUGAGUUUCAGCACAGCCAGAGCUACACAAACUGUGUCC
Molecule: long non-coding RNA, 1585 nt
Filed under: Mus musculus (house mouse)
Lineage: Eukaryota; Metazoa; Chordata; Mammalia; Rodentia; Muridae
Description: long non-coding RNA chr2:154811571-154813156
Source: RNAcentral